RNAcentral lists this microRNA precursor (128 nucleotides) under Dichanthelium oligosanthes. Lineage: Eukaryota; Viridiplantae; Streptophyta; Magnoliopsida; Poales; Poaceae. The record is from RNAcentral.
GCAAUAGGAGCCACUCAGGCUAGCCUAGGAGACUGCCUAUGAACCAUCUCAAAGGCCCACACACUUGAUCCUUUCAGUAUAAAGGACCUAGGCAAAUCAUCCUUGGCUAUCAGAGGUAGGCCCUUAUC